RNAcentral lists this unclassified non-coding RNA (308 nucleotides) under Hevea brasiliensis (rubber tree). Lineage: Eukaryota; Viridiplantae; Streptophyta; Magnoliopsida; Malpighiales; Euphorbiaceae. The record is from RNAcentral.
UGCAAUGCACCCCUUUGUAACAGCAACACGGACACUAUUCCAUGGGGGUGGAACAGGCACUUUCAAGGGUCUUACAGCAGGACAUACUUGUUCUGCUUUUUGGUUUAGGGCAGCACUUUCACUUGCCAUAGAAGACAAGUAUGCAUUACAAUCAGGAAAAUCUGAAGGAAAAAAUGGCAAACCUACUUCACAUGCAANNUCUCUCUAAGACCUAUUGCAUGAGCUCCCUUGGAGAUGAAAGCCAUCCAGAAGACCUUGACCCAGCACAAGGGGAUUAUUAUUGACCAUCCCAUGAAUGAGUCCAUUCC